Molecule: long non-coding RNA, 535 nt
Filed under: Pan troglodytes (chimpanzee)
Lineage: Eukaryota; Metazoa; Chordata; Mammalia; Primates; Hominidae
Description: lincRNA
Source: RNAcentral
AGGACAAAAAAAUUUUUAUUGAAAAUGGAGCUCUUAAAAAGAUGCUUGGUAUAAAUAAGUCAUGCUUCUAUUAAUGACAGGACUAGUUAAAAGGAUAAGAUUUGUAUGUCUGUGUCUCUUGUAAAAUUGAAUCAUCAAUUCUUAAGAAGUGAAACCAGGGUAUAUAAGUAUUACAUAAUAUGCCCAGAAAGUGAUGUGAACAAAAUUCAGACGUACGUUGAAGCUCCCAUUUUAAGAAUCACUCAUAUGACAAAUGUCAUCUUUUGCUCUAUAACCUUUGCUUAAAUUGGAGAAAAGAUGGAUUUAAUGAGACAAAUGAAAAGUGGUUUAACAUAACACACAGCAGAGCAUAUGCUGUUAUGCUUUGGUGUUUGUUCCCUAGCCCUUGUUCCUCAUAAUAGAUUGUGGAAUGUUUCAAAAAUGCCAUAACUUUUUUUGCUAAUUGUGGUCUUAACAAAAAUUGUUCUUGAUUUAAAAAAAAGAUGGAUAGGAUUGGUUAUUGAACUUUGAUAUUAAAUAACGUUUUAGUGAUAGU